CAAAGAAUGAAGAGGGACCCAGGGAGUUCUGGUGACACAGGGAAGAAUGCUGGACUCCACUAGGAUAACUGGGAUACCCUGCCUGGUUGAGUUCUAAUCA
Molecule: non-coding RNA, 100 nt
Organism: Ceratotherium simum simum (southern white rhinoceros)
Lineage: Eukaryota; Metazoa; Chordata; Mammalia; Perissodactyla; Rhinocerotidae
Source: RefSeq, a predicted model, not a curated record